CGUGGGCUCGCAGCAGAUGAACCUGACGGCCGUGCGCCGCCACGACCCGUACGUGGCCGACAUUGUGGACAGCGCCACCCAGGUGGCCGUCUACGAGUACAACUCGCCGGCCAGCGAGUGGCAAAAAACAGACAUGCAGGGAGCGCUCUUCGUCUACAAAAGGUCGGGUCCGCCCUACCACAGCUUCAUGGUGCUCAACCGUUUGAACACGAAGAACCUGCUGCAGCC
Pollicipes pollicipes is the source of this 228-nucleotide long non-coding RNA. RefSeq lists it as uncharacterized. NCBI's taxonomy places the organism in Eukaryota, Metazoa, Arthropoda, Thecostraca, Pollicipedomorpha, Pollicipedidae. The transcript has 3 exons. The record is from RefSeq and is a predicted model, not a curated record.